This 64-nucleotide transfer RNA is filed under the name Pseudoplites inexpectatus. RNAcentral describes it as "tRNA-Cys". The record is from RNAcentral. Lineage: Eukaryota; Metazoa; Arthropoda; Insecta; Coleoptera; Cerambycidae.
GGUUUUAUAGUCAAAAAUGAUCUUAAAUUGCAAAUUUAAGGGUGAAGAGUUUCUUCUAAGGCCU